Molecule: unclassified non-coding RNA, 209 nt
Filed under: Hevea brasiliensis (rubber tree)
Lineage: Eukaryota; Viridiplantae; Streptophyta; Magnoliopsida; Malpighiales; Euphorbiaceae
Source: RNAcentral
AUUAACAAGACCUAAUGUCAUGCCAGGGCAUAUCCUCUUUCCUGCACCAAAUGGAAUGAAUUCAAAAUUAGACCCCUUAAAAUCAAUGGAACUAUCGAUGAAUCUUUCAGGAAGGAACUUGUCAGCUUCAAUCCAGAUAUUGGGAUCUCUUCCAAUUGCCCAUAUAUGAACAAAGACCUUAGUUUUGGGAUUAAUGUCAUAUCCAUAGA